RNAcentral lists this long non-coding RNA (202 nucleotides) under Capsicum annuum. RNAcentral describes it as "long non-coding RNA (CANN_LNC005385)". Lineage: Eukaryota; Viridiplantae; Streptophyta; Magnoliopsida; Solanales; Solanaceae. The record is from RNAcentral.
AGCAUUAUCACGGAUUCUAGGAGGUACAUUCAGUCCAAUCUUGUCACUUUUAUUCUUCCAAUCUCCUUGAUGGUUCCAACCUUGGUUUCCUUGACUACCGGUCCAAAACCCCCCUGGUUAUACAAGUAGUUAGCCUCUUCCUCAGUGUUUGAUUCAUCUCUCUUACCAUGGGACCCCACAACUUUUACCUUUUCUAUAUUCC